This 26-nucleotide non-coding RNA is filed under the name Homo sapiens (human). The record is from RNAcentral. Lineage: Eukaryota; Metazoa; Chordata; Mammalia; Primates; Hominidae.
UCAAUCAAAGCCUACUUUCUCUAGCC